AGAAUCAACGCUGGCGGCGUGCCUCAGACAUGCAAGUCGAACGCGAAAGUCCCCUUCGGGGGAUAAGUAGAGUGGCGCACGGGUGAGUAACACGUAGGUAAUCUACCUUCGGAUGGGGAAUAACAACCGGAAACGGUUGCUAAUACCGCAUAAUGCAGCGGCACCUAAUGGUGACAGUUGUUAAAGCGGGGGAUCGAAAGACCUCGCGUCUGAAGAGGAGCCUGCGGCGGAUUAGCUAGUUGGUAAGGUAAUGGCUUACCAAGGCGACGAUCC
RNAcentral lists this ribosomal RNA (273 nucleotides) under uncultured soil bacterium. RNAcentral describes it as "partial 16S ribosomal RNA". It matches the Rfam family "Bacterial small subunit ribosomal RNA", at positions 26 to 282 of the family's 1533-position model. The record is from RNAcentral.